Molecule: non-coding RNA, 368 nt
Organism: Leptonychotes weddellii (Weddell seal)
Lineage: Eukaryota; Metazoa; Chordata; Mammalia; Carnivora; Phocidae
Source: RefSeq, a predicted model, not a curated record
UUCUACAGUUCUAUAAACUCUAGAUGUAAGAAAAAAUGAACACAAUCUUUUGAGUAGAGAUCACCCUGGGUGGAAGCCAGAGACAAGUCUUAGCCUCGGGCGCUGGGGAGGCUCCGCAGACCUGCUGAUUGGGAACCGAUAUGGCUGCGACUCUGGGCAGCGGAGAGCGCUGGACCGAAGCUUACAUUGAUGCAGUUAGAAGAAACAAAUACCCAGAAGAUAGACUUCCUAAAAGUCAUGAUCCCUGUGGGUGCUGUAACUGCAUGAAAGUGCAAAAGGAAAAGAAGUCUGAGCAUGAGUGGAAUGCAACCCGACAGGGUGAGGGAAGUGCCACUUACACUGAGGAACAGCUGCUCGGGGUACAAAGG